RNAcentral lists this ribosomal RNA (1554 nucleotides) under Klebsiella variicola. RNAcentral's name for it is "bacterial SSU rRNA". It matches the Rfam family "Bacterial small subunit ribosomal RNA". Lineage: Bacteria; Pseudomonadati; Pseudomonadota; Gammaproteobacteria; Enterobacterales; Enterobacteriaceae. The record is from RNAcentral.
ACUUAAAUUGAAGAGUUUGAUCAUGGCUCAGAUUGAACGCUGGCGGCAGGCCUAACACAUGCAAGUCGAGCGGUAGCACAGAGAGCUUGCUCUCGGGUGACGAGCGGCGGACGGGUGAGUAAUGUCUGGGAAACUGCCUGAUGGAGGGGGAUAACUACUGGAAACGGUAGCUAAUACCGCAUAAUGUCGCAAGACCAAAGUGGGGGACCUUCGGGCCUCAUGCCAUCAGAUGUGCCCAGAUGGGAUUAGCUGGUAGGUGGGGUAACGGCUCACCUAGGCGACGAUCCCUAGCUGGUCUGAGAGGAUGACCAGCCACACUGGAACUGAGACACGGUCCAGACUCCUACGGGAGGCAGCAGUGGGGAAUAUUGCACAAUGGGCGCAAGCCUGAUGCAGCCAUGCCGCGUGUGUGAAGAAGGCCUUCGGGUUGUAAAGCACUUUCAGCGGGGAGGAAGGCGGUGAGGUUAAUAACCUCACCGAUUGACGUUACCCGCAGAAGAAGCACCGGCUAACUCCGUGCCAGCAGCCGCGGUAAUACGGAGGGUGCAAGCGUUAAUCGGAAUUACUGGGCGUAAAGCGCACGCAGGCGGUCUGUCAAGUCGGAUGUGAAAUCCCCGGGCUCAACCUGGGAACUGCAUUCGAAACUGGCAGGCUAGAGUCUUGUAGAGGGGGGUAGAAUUCCAGGUGUAGCGGUGAAAUGCGUAGAGAUCUGGAGGAAUACCGGUGGCGAAGGCGGCCCCCUGGACAAAGACUGACGCUCAGGUGCGAAAGCGUGGGGAGCAAACAGGAUUAGAUACCCUGGUAGUCCACGCUGUAAACGAUGUCGAUUUGGAGGUUGUGCCCUUGAGGCGUGGCUUCCGGAGCUAACGCGUUAAAUCGACCGCCUGGGGAGUACGGCCGCAAGGUUAAAACUCAAAUGAAUUGACGGGGGCCCGCACAAGCGGUGGAGCAUGUGGUUUAAUUCGAUGCAACGCGAAGAACCUUACCUGGUCUUGACAUCCACAGAACUUUCCAGAGAUGGAUUGGUGCCUUCGGGAACUGUGAGACAGGUGCUGCAUGGCUGUCGUCAGCUCGUGUUGUGAAAUGUUGGGUUAAGUCCCGCAACGAGCGCAACCCUUAUCCUUUGUUGCCAGCGGUUAGGCCGGGAACUCAAAGGAGACUGCCAGUGAUAAACUGGAGGAAGGUGGGGAUGACGUCAAGUCAUCAUGGCCCUUACGACCAGGGCUACACACGUGCUACAAUGGCAUAUACAAAGAGAAGCGACCUCGCGAGAGCAAGCGGACCUCAUAAAGUAUGUCGUAGUCCGGAUUGGAGUCUGCAACUCGACUCCAUGAAGUCGGAAUCGCUAGUAAUCGUAGAUCAGAAUGCUACGGUGAAUACGUUCCCGGGCCUUGUACACACCGCCCGUCACACCAUGGGAGUGGGUUGCAAAAGAAGUAGGUAGCUUAACCUUCGGGAGGGCGCUUACCACUUUGUGAUUCAUGACUGGGGUGAAGUCGUAACAAGGUAACCGUAGGGGAACCUGCGGUUGGAUCACCUCCUUACCUUAAAGAA